This 669-nucleotide long non-coding RNA is filed under the name Pelobates cultripes (western spadefoot toad). Lineage: Eukaryota; Metazoa; Chordata; Amphibia; Anura; Pelobatidae. The record is from RNAcentral.
CACUCAGUCACUCACUAGAGCUAUGCUGGCUGAAAACACUGCUUAUUGGCUGAUUCAUAGCGAGGAUACAUUGUGGAUACAUUGACUGAAACUCUCAGGUUGGCUGAUUGAGUAAUACUCCAGGUCAGGUUUACUGACUGAGCGAGAUUCUCAGUCUCUGCUCAUUGAGUGAGGAUCCCAGGGAUUACUGACUGAGUGAGGAUCCCAGGGAUUACUGACUGAGUGAGGAUCCCAGGAUUACUGACUGAGUGAGGUUGCCAGGAUUACUGACUGAGUGAGGUUGCCAGGAUUACUGACUGAGUGAGGUUCCCAGGAUUACUGACUGAGUGAGGCUCCCAGGAUUACUGACUGAGUGAGGCUCCCAGGAUUACUGACUGAGUGAGGAUCCCAGGGAUUACUGACAGAGUGAGGUUCCCAGGAUUACUGACUGAGUGAGGUUGCCAGGGAUUACUGACUGAGUGAGGCUCCCAGGGAUUACUGACAGAGUGAGGUUCCCAGGAUUACUGACUGAGUGAGGAUCCCAGGAUUACUGACUGAGUGAGGCUCCCAGGAUUACUGACUGAGUGAGGCUCCCAGGAUUACUGACUGAGUGAGGAUCCCAGGCUGUGCUGUGUAAGGAAGACUUUGCCCCUGGAACAGAAUCCAGAGAAUUGAACAGGAACUGUGAAG